Molecule: ribosomal RNA, 253 nt
Filed under: uncultured bacterium
Lineage: Bacteria
Description: partial 16S ribosomal RNA
Rfam family: Bacterial small subunit ribosomal RNA
Source: RNAcentral
GACGAACCGUACAAACGUUAUUCGGAAUUACUGGGCUUAAAGGGUGCGUAGGCGGCGCGGUAAGUUGGGUGUGAAAUCCCUCGGCUCAACCGAGGAAUUGCGCUCGAUACUGCCGUGCUCGAGGAACCUAGAGGUGAGCAGAACUGAUGGUGGAGCGGUGAAAUGCGUUGAUAUCAUCAGGAAUACCGGAGGCGAAGGCGGCUCACUGGGGGUUAUCUGACGCUGAGGAACGAAAGCCAGGGGAGCAAACGGG